ACUGCCCGGUGAUAAGCCGAGAGGAAGGUGGGGAUGACGUCAAAGUCCUGCAUUGCCCUUAACGGCUGGGCUACACACGUGCUACAAUGGUGGUGACAGUGGGCAGCGAGACAGCGAUGUCGAGCUAAUCUCCAAAAGCCAUCUCAGUUCGGAUUGCACUCUGCAACUCGAGUGCAUGAAGUUGGAAUCGCUAGUAAUCGCAGAUCAGCAUGCUGCGGUGAAUACGUUCCCGGGCCUUGUACACACCGCCCGUCACACCAUGGGAGUUGGUUUUACCCGAAGGUAGUGCGCUAACCGCAAGGAGGCAGCUAACCACGGUAGGGUCAGCGACUGGGGUGACCUCGUAACAAGGU
This 353-nucleotide ribosomal RNA is filed under the name Agrobacterium tumefaciens. RNAcentral's name for it is "bacterial SSU rRNA". It matches the Rfam family "Bacterial small subunit ribosomal RNA", at positions 1147 to 1497 of the family's 1533-position model. The record is from RNAcentral. Lineage: Bacteria; Pseudomonadati; Pseudomonadota; Alphaproteobacteria; Hyphomicrobiales; Rhizobiaceae.